This 1399-nucleotide long non-coding RNA is filed under the name Oreochromis niloticus (Nile tilapia). RNAcentral's name for it is "lncRNA (ENSONIG00000037674.1)". The record is from RNAcentral. Lineage: Eukaryota; Metazoa; Chordata; Actinopteri; Cichliformes; Cichlidae.
UUAAUGAUAAAGUGUCAACACUUGAAGAUUCCCCCAUCUCUUCUGAACAAAACGGUGUAAGAAUGACCGUUCUAGCCCCUACGGUUAGGAAAUUAUGGUCAUUUGUUUGAGGGGAGUCGUCAUUAUGAGAAAUACACUGCAGAAAUCCUGUGUCUCUCUGUGCUGAGUGUGUAAAAACGGCUGCACCUGUUUUGGCGGGAAAAAGUACACAGCCUCUCUGAUUGGUGGAUUCAAAUUUAGCAGCUCCCAGGCUGCUUGACUGACCUAGAAACUUGCUUGUCUCUCCCUAUAUGUGUGUGUGUGUGUGUGUGUGUGUGUGUGUGACAGAGAGAGAGAAAGAGAGGGCGAGACAGAGUUUUUAUGGGAGCAUCUUAUUGUAUGAUUUAAAUUCAAUAUAUUUAGACUGGUUGACUGAAUUUGAUCCUGUGUGUGUCUCUCUGUGCAUGUGUGACUUUUUGCAGCUGUCCAUUUUGCUUUUCCAAUUUUUCUAUUUAAGUUAUUACUAUUCUGGUGAGUCAUAGCAUUUCUGCUGCUUUUCAGUAUUUGUGCUAAAUACAGCAUUUCUGCAAAAUCAUACUAUGUCUGCUAUUUUGUGAGAUUUGUGCUAAAUACAGCAUUUCUGCUAAAUCAUACUCUUUCUGCUAUUUCAUAAGAUUUGUCCUAAAUAUAGUGUUUCUGCUAUUUCUGCCAAAUUUAGUAUUUUUGAUUAAUUAGGGUUUUUCUACCAAAUCAUAGUGCAGUUUUACUGCUUUUUAUAGGAUUUUUAGAGGAUAUUUAUAUUGCUUAAUAUAAUAUUUCUGCUUUUUAUAGGAUUUGUGCUUAAUAUAGUUUUUCUAAAAAAUGUAGUAUUUAUGCUUAAUCAUACUAUUUCUAUAUAUUUCUGCCAGGUCCCCAGGCAGCUAAUCCUCUGUGAGGACUGAUACAUACAAAUACAUAUCAGGGCCUGCACGGCUUCCCAACCAGCCAAUCAUAUCUGGGGUCUGCCCUUUCUUCUCUUGUCAUAUCUCAGCGACAGAUGUACAAAGAGCAAUGCAAAUCACAGUCAAAGUACACCAAAGUCCGCUGAUUCACCCAGUACAAGAAUUAUGCUUCUAGUCCACCUAGUUUUUGAGUUACACGACGUUUUGUAACUGCAAAAAACGGCGUUUUUCCCCUCUCACCGCAAUCUGAUUCUGACUGCUCAUCACCCUGUUUUCCAGGCAUUCGCUCUCUUUCCCAGUGGGGCAGUUGGUAAUGACACAGGUCUGCAACCCAAAGGUCGCGGGUUCAAUUACACCUUGGGCAACAUGUGUUUUUUCCCUACAAAUUAAUACACUAUCACAGACCACUAAUUCAUAUUCAUCAUUUAUUACAAUUCUGCAACCUUUUAUGAUUUUAGCAGCUUUUGUAAUAUGGACCU